This 484-nucleotide ribosomal RNA is filed under the name uncultured bacterium. Its description in RNAcentral is "partial 16S ribosomal RNA". It matches the Rfam family "Bacterial small subunit ribosomal RNA", at positions 30 to 507 of the family's 1533-position model. The record is from RNAcentral.
AUUGAACGCUGGCGGCAGGCCUAACACAUGCAAGUCGAGCGGAUGAAGGGAGCUUGCUCCUGGAUUCAGCGGCGGACGGGUGAGUAAUGCCUAGGAAUCUGCCUGGUAGUGGGGGAUAACGUCCGGAAACGGGCGCUAAUACCGCAUACGUCCUGAGGGAGAAAGUGGGGGAUCUUCGGACCUCACGCUAUCAGAUGAGCCUAGGUCGUAUUAGCUAGUUGGUGGGGUAAAGGCCUACCAAGGCGACGAUCCGUAACUGGUCUGAGAGGAUGAUCAGUCACACUGGAACUGAGACACGGUCCAGACUCCUACGGGAGGCAGCAGUGGGGAAUAUUGGACAAUGGGCGAAGGCCUGAUCCAGCCAUGCCGCGUGUGUGAAGAAGGUCUUCGGAUUGUAAAGCACUUUAAGUUGGGAGGAAGGGCAGUAAGUUAAUACCUUGCUGUUUUGACGUUACCAACAGAAUAAGCACCGGCUAACUUCGUG